Molecule: long non-coding RNA, 20454 nt
Filed under: Gossypium barbadense (sea-island cotton)
Lineage: Eukaryota; Viridiplantae; Streptophyta; Magnoliopsida; Malvales; Malvaceae
Description: long non-coding RNA (GBAR_LNC000076)
Source: RNAcentral
UGACAUAAAAGAGCUCUUCACUAUGAGCAGACAAACAAGAGCCAAACCUAUGCCUCUUAGUGAUGAUAUUGGGCCUUAUGUUGUUCCUUUUCAACAUCAAACUGUCAACCAGUAUGGUAUGUUUUUUUGUUUAAUCUGCAAUUUAUGAUAAUUCUUUUUUAUUUAUGUAUGGAAUUUAUUGGGAGGAAAUGCAGGAAAGAAUUCAUUUACGUGGUUUGGUCCAAGACCAAGGGUGAACAUUACGGACCCUGAAAAAAUAAAAGAAAUACUUAACAAAUUUAAUGACUUCCAGAAGGUACGUACCAAUCCACUUGUUCAUUUGCUUGUAAGCGGCCUUGUUAACCUCGAAGGAGACCGAUGGAGCAAGCAUAGAAAAAUCAUAAACCCUGCAUUUCAUCAAGAUAAGUUGAAGGUAUAGAAUAGUGAUGGGUACUCAGACUUUAAAGAAAACAUCAUACUUAAACCUAUGCUUUUCUGACUUAGAAAAUAAUUGGAUGCAGAAUAUGUUGCCAGCAUUUUAUCAAAGUUGUAGUGACAUGUCAAGCAAAUGGGAGAAGAUGGUGUGUACAGAAGGAUACUGUGAGUUAGAUGUGUGGCCUUAUCUCGUAGAUUUGACAAGAGAUGUGAUUUCCCGAUCUGCUUUUGGAAGCAGCUUCGAAGAAGGCAAACGAAUUUUCCAAUUACCAGAGGACCAACUCGUUCUCACAAUCAAAUUAAUACAAACUGUUUACAUUCCAGGAUGGAGGUAACCCUCAACUUAAUUUACUUGAAAAAGGUUGCAAAUGUUGGAAUUCGCUAAAAGCGUGUUUGUUUUCUUGAAGGUUUUUGCCAACAAAGACAAACGGGGAGAUGAAGAUGAAAUACAAAGACAUAAAAGAGUCGCUUAGGGAAAUGAUAAAGAGAAGAGAGAAGGCAAUUAAAGCAAGGGAAGAGAGCAAUGAGGACUUGUUGGACAUACUUGUGGAAUCCAAUAUCAGAGAAAUGGAAGCAAAGAAUAUGGGGAUGAGCAUUGAGGAUGUGAUUGAGGAAUGCAAGCUGUUUUACUUUGCUGGCCAAGGGACCACUUCGGUCUUGCUGGUGUGGACUAUGGUUUUAUUAGCAAGGCAUCCCGAUUGGCAAAGUAAAGCAAGAGACGAGGUUUUGCAUGUUUUGGGUGACAGUAAACCUGAUGCUGAUGGCCUUAAUCGUCUCAAAGUUGUAAGUCCCUAGCAUGUCUUUUGAAGGUCCGAUCAAUGAGGUCGACAACUCAAAAACUUGGUUUCUUUGUUUCGCUAAUUCUACAGGUAACAAUGAUAUUGUACGAGGUUCUAAGGUUGUACCCACCAGUGGUUGAGCUAGGACGUUCCGUUCCAAAAGAAAUAAAACUGGGAAAUUUGUUGUUACCAGCAGGAACAGACGUUUUGGUUCCAAUCCUGCAGAUCCACCAUGACAAAGAUCUUUGGGGCGACGACGCACGGGAAUUUAAGCCAGAGCGGUUCACGGAAGGAGUUUCCAAAGCAACAAAGAGUCAAGUCACGUUUCUGCCAUUCGGAUGGGGUCCUAGGAUCUGCAUUGGCCAAAACUUUGCCAUGAUGGAAGCCAAAAUGGCGAUGGCUAUGAUUCUCCAACGCUUCUGGUUCGAGCUUUCCCCUUCCUAUGCUCACUCUCCUUACAGCAUGGCAACUCUUCGUCCACAGCAUGGUGCACAGAUAAUUUUACAUAAACUUGGCUCUAAUUGAAUUGUUAUGUAAAUAAAUCUUUGUGAAAAUAUAUAGCUUGUUAGUGUAUCGUCAAAGUCCGGUGUCUGUAAUGGUACAAUUCCGAUGCAUGAAUAGUAAAUUUUGAGAUGUUUAGUGAAGUCCGAAAUAAUAUGCAGAAAUUGAGUGUCUUGAAUGGAUGUAGUAUUUAAUGGUGGACAUAGCUGGGGGACUAAUGUGGUAAUUAUCGAACAAAUAAUUGCAUAUGGUACAAAGACUUGUAUGGAAAUUAGAGCAGGGGGAGUAGAAAAUGACUACUUUGCUUUGGGCAUCAAUUUAGAAAGAUUUAAAGUACAAAUGUAUUAUUAGUUUAAGGGAUUUGUUUUAAAGAAGGAAUGACAAUUAAACCUUAUGAUUGAUUUGUGGAAAGGAAUCGAUGAUGGGAUGAUUACUUUUAGUGGUAAAAAAAACUAUUAAGGAGGUUAUUAUAUUUGUUAUCACCGGCCCAAAAUUUAAAUGUAGUCACGUCAAAUUAUAUCGAGCUCGCAAUAUGAGUUCACGGACCAAGUUUGCAUGAUAAUAGGUGUUCACAUAAAGGUAUUUAUAGUUUACUGCAAAGUCACAUGUGAGAUCGUGCAUUGGAACCGAAUAGACAUGUUUUAUGUUUAGAAUAUGAUACGUGUCUAUGUGCAUAGAAUCUACCUAGUAUAUCAUAUCAAUGAAUAGUAUCAAUUGCGGAGCCAAAAUUUUUUUGAGGGGUAAGAAUUAAAUUGUAUAUUUUUACUAAAAUAAAAAUUCAAUUUUACUAUUUUAAUAGUUUAUUUCUUUUUAAUUUUUAAAUGAUUAAAUCAAAUUUUUAUAAAUUUUUAGAGAUCAAAAUAUAAUUUUAUCAUUACUAAUUUAAAAUUUUAUAAAUUAUAAAGUAUUUAAAUAAAAAAAUUUCCUAUUUUAGGGUGACCAAGGUCCUGCCAACUUCCUACUCGAUCACUGAACAGUAUAAAUAAAUACCAUCAUCUAAAAUACUCAAGAAAAACACUCAAGGAUAAAUAGAGAGAUGUUGGGUAAGUGUCCAAAAUAUGAUUUAAGUGAAGAUACGUGUGGUAGGUGUCAUGGAAAUGUAAAGACAAGAAUCCCACUAAUGUAUGGGAUGUGUACACUUGAAUGUAGGGAGCAAAGAGGAGCGAAUCAUUGUGGUAACAUUUGGACAAGAAAUAAUGAACAAAAUGAAAGGAGAGGAAGCUAGUAAAAGAUUUUUUUGGGUCAUAUAAUUUGUUUGGUAUAUAUUUUUUUAAUUUUUAAAUAUCAUUUUGGAGUUGAAUUAUAGUUUCUUUUUAUGUUUUAAAACAUAAUUAUUUUAUUUUUAGAGUGUCAAAGUAGAGGUGAGCAUGGAUCAGACUACUCGGCUCGGCCGGAAGAUCUGUCUGAAAUGUGAGAGGUUUGAGCAAAAAUAUAGGCAAAAAAAAUGGGCUUGGACAAAAAAUAUAAGGCUCGUUUAGAAAAUGGGUCGGGCCUUGAGUAAGACAUUUUUGGCCUCGAGCCUGGCCCGGCUUGAAUUCACUAAAGGACAAAAAAAAUUAAUUUUUUAAAUAUUAUUUUCUUGUUAUUUUCUUCCUAUUUUGCUACCAUUGUACUAUUAUGUUACUACUAUUUUGUUGUUAUUGUUUGGAUAUUGUAUAAACCUUAUUUUAUUGUUAAUUUUGUUAUUAUUUUAAAGACAUUUGUUAAUUUUGUUAUUAUUUUAGAGACAUUUGCUUGUUAAGUUGCAUCUAUCUUAGUGUUAUUUAAGUAUACAUAUUUUUUAAAAUUUAUUUUCAAUUUGUUGGAAAAUAUUUAUUUUAUAUUUUUAGUAUUUUAGAUGUAUUAUAUAUAUUUUAAAAUUAUAUAAAAAUUAAUAUGGACAGGAGGGUCGAGCCCGAGUUUUAGCAUUUUUAUUCGGGUUAGGCUUGGACAAAAUUUUAAGCCCAUUUUUUGGGCCGAGCCUAACAAACAGUCUUGAAUUUUUAGUUGAGCUUGGCCCGGCCCAUGCUCACCUCUAGUUCAAAGCUGCCCUCGCUUUGCAUUUCUUUGAGAUUCAGUUUUAUCUACUGUUGAUUGGCCACUCAAUUGAGGGUUGAAUAGAAAGAUUUGGUGAAGCAAGCUAAGCUAUCAAUCAAGGUUGGAGAAAGCUUAGGAGAUCACAAUGCAUAAUUAUUUAAAUGUAAUUCUAAUAUUUAAAUAAAAUUUAUUAAUUUAGUAUUAACAAGCCUUAAAUGUAAUGAUCAUAUACUAUUACAUUUUCAAGAAGAAAAAAUAUGUUUGAACCUUAAAAACAACAUUAUUAAAAAUAAUAAUCACAAAUCUUAAAAUAUAAAAAAUAUAAUUAAAAAUUAAUUUUAAACUCGAGCUGUAACAGCCCAAAUUUCAGUGGUGUCGGAAUAGUGAUGUGAGAUCACUAAAUACGACAUGUGAGUUUAGAUAUUAGUAAGUAAAAGUUAAGUGUGAUUUUAGAAAUAUUUUUGAAUUAGUGAAAUUGUGAAUUAAAGAAAAUUUCUAGAUAAAAACGAGGUAUCGAGACCUCUAAUUCAUAAACCAAGCCAUAAAUAUUUUUAGAAAUAUUUAUGGAGUGUUACUAAGUUAGUAUUAAAGUUUUGUUAAGAGAUUUUAACAUUUCAGUAAUUAAUUGAAGAAAAAUGACUAAAUUGAAUAAAGUGUAAAACUAUCAAAUAUGAUUAAAUAGCUUAAGAGAUCAUUAAGGAAUGAGUUAAAAGGUAAAUAGACCCAAAUUAGGUGGGUUGGACGGCAUGAGUGUGCAGGAAAUGUAAAAAAAUCAAGUGUGAACAAAGGGCAAAAGUGAAAAUAGGGUAAAAUUUAAUUGUAAAAUAUGAUGUAGUUGGUAAUUUUAGAGAAUUCAUCAUUUUUCUUCAUCUUCAUCAGCUAAAAACACCAUUAGAGAGCUUUUAAGAAGCUGGUUUUAUAUUUUACAGCAUGUAAGUUCAAUUCUUGAUUAUUUAGUUCAAUUCUUGAUUAUUUCUUGUAAUUUUUGUGUUUUUUGAGACUUUUACAAUUGGGUCCUACUAUUUAACUUAUUAGUUUUUGCUUUUAUGAAUGGUUUAGAAAGUUUCCAUAAAUAAGAGCUGAAAUUUUAUGAUGAUUUAUUAUGGAAUUGGGACUGUAAGUUUAUUAUAUGAUGAUUUUAUGAAGAGAUUUUAUAAGAAUUGAUUUUUAGGACCUAAUUGUGAAAGUCGUUGUAAUUAGGGUUUUGUGUUAAAACUUUGAAUUUCAAAGGCUUGGAAGUAGUUAUAAUGUUUAGAUAAAAUGAUAUUUUAGAAUAAUUAGUUCAAUUGAUGAACAAAUUGAGCAAUGACUAAAUUGUAAAAAUUGAAAAGUUUGAGAAAAAAUGUAAUUUCAAAAAUUAAAGGGUAUAAAUUGUGAAGUAGAAUAGAAUUGAAAUAGAUGCUCAUGAGGGAAUGAUUUUAUAAUUACAGAUCAAGAAAACGAAGUGAAUCGUGGAAAGGAGAAAUUGCAAGAAUAUUCCCUGAAAUUUCUACGACUUUUGCAAAUCAGCCCAGUUAAGUUCAUAUGGAAAAAAUUAAUGUUUUGUUAUGAAAAUCUUAUGAUUUGAUAAGGUAUAUUAUUAUAGAUGAAUACUAUCAAAUUGUAAUAAUUAUGAAAUAAUAUUUAAGUAAAAGUACAAAUUAGUUGGAACAAUGGAUUUGAGUGCUUUCGUUCUGUGACCAUGAUGAAUUGAUGGAAAAGGUGUGAUAUGUGCGCCCGUAUAAGACCAUAGCUGGGCUAUGGCAUCGGUGCAAUGUGAUAUGUGCUCCUGUAUAAGACUAUAGUUGGGCUAUGGCAUCGGUGUGAUGUGAUAAUGUGCUUCUGUAAAAGACCAUAUUUGGGAUAUGGCAUCGGUAUGAUAUGUGACCCGUGUAAGACCAUAACUGGGCUAUGGCUUCGGUGUGUGAUAUGUGACUAUGUGCAAGUCUAUGGUUUUACCAUGGCAAUGUGAUAAUGAAGCACUCAAUUCCAUUAUUGUUUCCUAAUUUGACUAUGAAAGUAAAUGAGAAAUAGGCCCAAGAGAUCUAAAAUUGGUGAAUAGUGACAUUGAAAUCAAUCAAAUGAGUUUAUUAAUGAUUUGUGAUUUACAGGAAGGUUUAGUGAAAUUAAAUAUUAUAUGAUUGUGUGCAAUAUUCGGUAAGAUUUAUUUUUCUGUGCUUAUGAGCGUACUAAGCUUCAAUAAGCUUACUUGUGUAUGUUAUUUGUUUUGUAGAUUGACUUAUAUACAUACGGAGGAUUGGAUCUACAUCGAGGAUCACGCUAUCCAGAUUUAUUCUGGUAGAUUUUGUUAAACAACUUUUUGAUUUAUAUGGCAUGUAUAGGGUUGAUUUGAUAAUGUAAUAGUAUGAAUGAUUAAGUAUGUAAAGUAAAUUGAAUGCGAUGGUUGUGUUUGAUAAUGAAAUAUACAUGUUUUGGCUUGAAAUAGUUGAUUUGUUGGACUUUAUUAGUGUAUAAAUGUGAUUUUGUGCAGGAAAAUAUUAAAAGGGUGAGAAAAGAGGCAUUAAAUGACCUAUUUUCGUCCACACGAGUAGGCGCAGGACAUGUGUGACACACAACCUACUAUAUGGGCAUGUGAUAAGAUCGUGUGUCCCUUGCAACUUAAAAAUGAGAAUCAGAAUGUCCAGGUUUAGGCACAUGGCCUAACAUAAGGGCGUGUGGCUUGACCGUGUGACACACCCACGGGCUUUAACAUGGCCGUGUGAUACGGCUGUGUGAAGUCUGCACUUAAAAUGUGAAAUUUAAUUAUCACACGGCCUAGCAACACAGACGUGUGCUCAGGCUGUGUGACUCAAGUUUCUUCUUGAAUGCAAGUCAGAGAGCUCCACGGGCUUGGGACAUAGGCGUGCGUGACCACACAGCCUACCCACACGGGCGUGUCCCUAUCCACACGGGCGUGUGGCCCUGUUUCAUGAUAAUUUUUUUUAAAAUUUUCUAAAAGCUCUGAAAGUUCUUAGUUUGGUCCCGAUCUAUCUCCAACAUAUAUUUUGGGCCUCGUAGGCCCGUAUAAGGGACUUUAAGCAUGUGUUUGAAUAAUAGUUAAUUUGGAAUGAAGUUUUAUGAUCUGGUUUUGGGUGUUUAAUUGUGUUUAAGCCUGGUAAUACCUCGUACCCUGUUCCGGCGUAGAAUACGAGUAAGGGGUGUUACACAAGCUGGAUAAAAUUCUAAUUUUUGAUAAUGAUAGUAAUAACAAAUCAAUAUUUAAAUUAAAAUUAAAAUUAAUUUAGUAUAAUAUAAUUUUUGAGUUUUCGGCAAAGGCACUCAAUGAAUGCUUGGAAAGAAAUAAUGCAACUUAGUGAAAUAAUGCAACUUAGUGAUAGCUUUUGUUGGAGUUAUAUGCUGUUAUUAUAGUUUUAUGUUUUUAUCUUGCAAAAACAACAUAUUGGAGUUUUCGGUGGACUUUUAAGUUUCAUGAUUUUUUCCUAAUACUUUACGUGAAAAAAAUAAUGGUACUUAAAAAUCUAACAAAAGCUUCUCUAUAAUUUUUAUAAAAAAAACAUUGCUACAAUAUUACAACACAAAGUUACAAUAAUAGCUUAUAACUCAACAAAGGCUAUCAAUAAAUAAUCUCAAGCAAGUUAAAGAGAAAUGUUGAGAAUACCACCCAAAUAGUGACCGACUUUAAAAGUUGAAAACCCAAAGCUAUAGUAUCUCAAACGAAAUCAAACCAUAAAUAUUAAAAUUUUUCGAGUCUAUUAGCUACUGUAAAAAAAUUUAGCUCCAACAGACACCAAAUGAGCCUUUGAUUGAAGAAAAUACGAAAACUAGUCUAGGUAAACCAAGCUGCCAAACUUACUUAUCUUAUCUUUAAUCUGCCGUGAAAUUCAAAACUAAGUUUUUGUUUAUUUCACUUAGAACGACUUUCAAAAAAUUAUUUUUGAAAAAUGGAUUGAUUUUUUUGAAAUAGAUGAUAUUUUAUUGUGUUGAAACUUUAUUCGUUGUCUGAAAACUUUUUUUAAAUUAUUUUCUUAGAGUUAUUUUUAGUGAAAUAAACAUAACAUAAAUAUAUUUGUUAUAAAAAAUUAUAUUAGUAUUUUCUUUUGACAAUUAAAAUUUAUUUUAUGAUAAGACAAUAUUUUACAAUAAUUAAUAUCAUAUAUAUACGUAAUAAUAAAUCAUGUUUAAUUAAAAUUUAAUUUAAAUUAAAUAUAUUAAUAAAGCUACAUAUAAUCAUAUUUUAUAUAAUUAAAAUAUUAAUAUAAAUAUUUUUCAAUAAUAUAUUAAAAAUAUUAAAAUUUAAUAUUAUUAUUACUAAAAUUAAUUAUUAAAAUAAAAAAUGUAAUAUUAAAUAAUUUAUUGUAUUAUUAAAUAUAAAUAAUUAAAUAUGUAUUUUAUAAUAUUUUAAUAUUCUUAAACAGCCAUGUUUUAUAGAUGCUGGUGAUCGUGAUGGUGCAGGCCCUUCUUGUUAUAAUUACUAUAAUUUCUAGUGCAAUAAUUGAAGUUGUUGGGUGGUCAAGCAAACCUCUUUUUGACUGAAAUGCAUGUAAUAUACUGGGCGAAUCUAGAGGGGUUCGCGUGGUACCGGUCUCUCUAAAGUUUAAAAUUGUUAUUUAAAUUUUUAAUUUUUUUAAAAAAUUUUAAAUUUAAUAAAAGUAAAAUUAUAUUUUUAGCUCUUAAAAUUAUAAAAAUUAUAUUUAAUCCUUUAAAAGUUAUAAAUAUAUAGACUAAAAAAUUAAAAUUUCAUUCGGCUUAUUAAAAGAUUAUUCUGGCUUUGCUCUUGAUACCGAUGUUGAAUAUUUUAGAGUAUGUUUCUUUAACAUGGUUCAAUUAUAUAUUUAUAUAAUAUAAUUAUUGUUCAUGAAUGUGACAUCGUAACUAAGUUCAUAUGCAUGUCAACAUAUAUAUUAUUUUAGGGUUAAUACGUUUUUUUUAAAUGUGAGUUCACCUAUAUAAUGGUAUGAACCCGUCACGCGGUCUCAUGAAAUAUGCGAAUAUAUGUCGUGCGAACACAAAGUACGAACUACACAGAAUAAGGACUAAGACCCAAUUGGGUAAUCGGAUACGGAUCAGUAAUAAUGAAUUUCAUAACAGCCACCAUCCCCUCAUUUGUUCUAAUUUAUUUUAUUUCCAGUGAGUUAUUGUUUAUGAUAAUUCACAACAAAUGUUUUUGUCAUUAUUUUUUGGUAAAUAAUAAUAAGAUUAAACUCUACUUUCUUAAGCUCCUUCAAUUCUUUGGACGUUGGUGGUUUUUUAUUCUAAUCUUAUUUUCUUAUUAAUUUCUUUUUUAUAAUAAAUGUGUUUAUAGAUUAAAUUGGAUUAUAAUUGAGUCAUUGUAUGGAAUUAACAUAAUUCAUAUCGAUUAAAAUUUAUUCGACUGGAAAUACAAAUUUAAAAUUUUACUUCAAUUUAUCUUAAUUUAUAAAUGAUGAAUUUAAAUUUAUUUUUUUCUCUCAUUAUAUUCAGUUUUCCGGAUAAGAUUUGGCCCAGAACAAAAACUAUAACAAUAAAACAAAUAUAUAUGUUUUCCAAAAAUUAAAUUGUUAACUUUUAAAAAAAUAUUUUUAGCUAUUUCUCAUCAUUGAGAAUAAAAAUAAGGUCACCUCGCCUCAUGCUUCAACAACUCAACCUAGAUUCUCAUCACCUGUAUUUAUCAUCGAUUCAGAUUUUUAUUUUUACUAUAUUCAAGAACUACCUAUAAAUCUAUCUUCAAACUUCCUCUGGUUAAGUUCAUUCAUAGAUAGGUGAGUAAACUUGAGCUUCAGCUUCAACAAACACCAUAGUUUGAAGACACAAUUCUCUCAUACUAAAAAUAUGGAAGUUUACCAUGUAAUUAGAGAUUUGGUCUCAUUGCUUGUUGUUGGGUUAUUAAUGAUAUGGGGAUGGAGAACUUUAAACUGGGUAUGGUUGGCCCCAAAGAGGCUCGAAAGGUGCUUGAGACAACAGGGUUUUGCAGGGAAUACUUACAGGUUCCUUUCCGGUGACAUAAAACAGCUCUCAACUAUGGGCAGACAAACAAAAGCCAAACCUAUGCCUCUUAGUGAUGAUAUUGGGCCUUAUUGUUGGAGUUUCAACACACUUUAACCGGGUAAAGUAAGAAUUUUAAACAGAGCACUAGCAGCAACGUAUUAUACCCGGAUAAAAUAUGAAGGAAAAAUGCUUGGAGUUCAAGCUUUUAGCUACUGUCAAGAAUGAAGAACAGAACUUAGAAGUUUUUAGAAGGCAAAAAAAGAUGGAGCAUAUGGAAGAAAAUCUGAUGAUUUCAUUCAUUGAAACAUUGGCUUAAAGCCAUUACAUAUACCAGUCAUUUGGCUGGUCAAAAGAUUAACAAAUCCUUUACCUAAACACUACCUAACUCCACUAAUUACAUAGGGACUAGGUGAUUUUACUUGCAAACAUAAACAAAGAUGGUGAUCAGCUCUAUCACCAUCAAAUUACAUCAAACAUAAACUAAACUAAGUUCAAAAUGAACUAGAUUACAAAAGCAUAGUUAAACGGUAACAAAAUGUAACUGAGACGGAAAAGAAGUAUCAACCCCUUCAGUUGCAUGUAUUUUACUCGGGUAACUUGUGUGUAUGAAUUCUUGCACAUACUUUACCCGGAUAACAUAAGUGCAUUAAUUUUCACGUGCUUGAAUCUGCAUGGGCUGCAUGGGAACUAACUUCAACACUUAUGUUGCUCCUUUUCUUCAUCAAAUUGUCAACCAGUAUGGUUUGUUUUUUAUUUAUUUAUUUAAUCUUCAAUUUAUGAUAAUUCUUUGUUAUUUAUGUAUGGAAUUUAUUGGGAGGAAAUGCAGGAAAGAAUUCAUUUACGUGGUUUGGUCCAAGACCAAGGGUGAACAUUACUGACCCUGAAAAAAUAAGAGAAAUACUUAAACAAAUUUAAUGACUUCCAGAAGGUACAUACCAAUCCACUGCUUAAUUUGCUUGUAAGCGGCCUUGUUAACCUCGAAGGAGACCGAUGGAGCAAGCGUAGAAAAAUCAUAAACCCUGCAUUUCAUCAAGAUAAGUUGAAGGUAUAGAAUAGUGAUGGGUACUCAAGACUUUACAGAAAACAUCAUACUUAAACCUAUGCUUUUCUGAUUUAGAAAUAAUUGGGUGCAGAAUAUGUUGCCAGCAUUUUAUCAAAGUUGUAGUGACAUGUUAAGCAAAUGGGAGAAGAUGGUGUGUACAGAAGGAUACAGUGAGUUAGAUGUGUGGCCUUAUCUCGUAGAUUUGACAAGGGAUGUGAUUUCCCGAUCUGCUUUUGGAAGCAGCUUCGAAGAAGGCAAGCGAAUUUUCCAAUUACUAGGCGACCAACUCGUUCUCAGAAUCAAAUUAAUACAGAUUGUUUACAUUCCAGGAUGGAGGUAACCCUCAACUUAAUUUACUUGAAAAAGGUUGCAAAUGUUGGAAUUCGCUAAAAUCGUGUUUGUUUUCUUGAAGGUUUUUGCCAACAAAGACAAACAGGUAGAUGAAGAUGAAACAGAGACACAUAAAAGAGUCGCUUAGGGAAAUGAUAAAGAGAAGAGAGAAGGCAAUUAAAGCAAGGGAAGAGAGCAAUGAGGACUUGUUGGACAUACUUGUGGAAUCCAAUAUCAGAGAAAUGGAAGCAAAGAAUAUGGGGAUGAGCAUUGAGGACGUGAUUGAGGAAUGCAAGCUGUUUUACUUUGCUGGCCAAGAGACCACUUCAGUCUUACUGGUGUGGACUAUGGUUUUAUUAGCAAGGUAUGCCGAUUGGCAAAGUAAAGCAAGAGAGGAGGUUUUGCAUGUUUUGGGUGACAGUAAACCUGAUGUUGAUGGCCUUAAUCGUCUCAAAGUUGUAAGUCCCUAGCAUGUCUUUUGAAGGUCCGAUCAAUGAGGUCGACAACUCAAAAACUUGGUUUCUUUUUUCGCUAAUUCUACAGGUAACAAUGAUAUUGUACGAGGUUCUAAGGCUGUACCCAUCAGCGACUGAGCUAGGACGUUCCGUUCCAGAAGAAAUAAAACUGGGAAAUUUGUUGUUGCCAGCAGGAACAGAAGUUUCGGUUCCUAUCCUGCUGAUCCACCAUGACAAAGAUCUUUGGGGCGACGACGCACGGGAAUUUAAGCCAGAGCGGUUCGCGGAAGGGGUUUCCAAAGCAACAAAGAGUCAAGUCACGUUUCUGCCAUUCGGAUGGGGUCCUAGGAUUUGCAUUGGCCAAAAUUUUGCUAUGAUGGAAGCCAAAAUGGCAGUGGCUAUGAUUCUCCAACACUUCUGGUUCGAGCUUUCCCCUUCCUAUGCUCACACUCCUUGCAGCAUGGUAACGCUUCGUCCACAGCAUGGUGCACAGAUAAUUUUACAUAAACUUGGCUGUAAUUGAAUAGUUAUGUAAACAAAUUUUUGUGAAAAUAUAGCGUUUUAGUGUAUCGUCAAAGUCCGGUGUCUGUAAUGGUACAAUUCCGAUGCAUGAAUAGUAAAUUUUGAGAUGUUUGGUGAAGUCCGAAAUAAUAUGCAGAAAUUGAGUGUCUUGAAUGGAUGUAGUAUUUAAUGGUGGACAUAGUUGAGGGACUAAUGUGGUAAUUAUCAAACAAAUAAUUGCAUAUGGUACAAAGACUUGUAUGGAAAUUAGAGCUGGGGGAGUAGAAAAUGACUACUUUGCUUUGGGCAUCAAUUUAGAAAGAUUUAAAGUACAAAUGUAUUAUUAGUUUAAGGGAUUUGUUUUAAAGAAGGAAUGACAAUUAAACCUUAUGGUUGAUUUGUGGGAGGGAACCGAUGAUGGGAUAAUUACUCUUAGUGGUAAAAAAAAAAAACUAUUAAGGAGGAUAUUAUACUUGUUAUCACCGGCCAAAAUUCAAAUGGGUUUGGGUUGAAUUAUAUUGAGCUCGCAAGAUGAGUUCAUGGACCAAGCUUGCAUGAUAAUGGGUGUUCACAGAAAGGUAUCUAUAGUUUCCUGUAAAGUCACAUGUGAGAUCGUAUAUUGGGACCGCAUAAACAUGUUUUAUGUUUAGAAUAUGAUAUGUAUCUAUGUGCAUGGAAUCUACCUAGUAUAUUAUAUCAAUGAAUAGUAUCAAUUGCGGAGCCAAAAUUUUUUUUGAGAGGUCAGAAUUAAAUUGCAUAUUUUUACGAAAAUAAAAAUUCAAUUUCACUAUUUUAAUAGUUUAUUUCUUUUUAAUUUUUAAAUGAUUAAAUUAAAUUUUUAUAAAUUUUUAGGAGGUUGAAGUACAAUUAUAUCAUUACUAAUUUAAAAUUUUAUAAAUUAUAAAGGACUUAAAUGAAAAUUUUCCUAUUUUAAAGUGACUAUAAAUAAAUAAAUACCACCAUCUAAAAGACUUAAGAAAAACACUCAACAAUUGUUGAUAAAUAGAGAGAUGUUGGGUAAAUGUCCAAAAUAUGAUUUAAGUGAAGAUACGUGGGGUAGGCGUCAUGGAAAUGUAAAGACAAGAAUCCCACUAAUGUAUGGGAUGUGUACACUUGAAUGUAGGGAGCAAAGAGGAGCGAAUCAUUGUGGUAACAUUUGGACAAGAAACAUAAUGAACAAAAUGAAAGGAGAGGAAGCUAGUAAAAGAUUUUUUUGGGUCAUAUAAUUUGUUUGGUAUAUAUUUUUUUAAUUUUUAAAUAUCAUUUUAGAGUUGAAUUAUAUUUUCUUUUUAUGUUUUAAAACAUAAUUAUUCUAUUUUUAGAGGGUCAAAGUAGAGGUGAGCAUUGGUCGGGCUAUCCGGCCCGGCCUAAAGAUCUACUAGAAAUGUGAGAGGUUUGAAUAAAAAUAUAGGCCCGAAAAAUGGGUUUGGACAAAAAAUAUAAGGUUCGUUUAGAAAACGGGCCGAGCCUUGAGUAAGGCAUUUUUGACCUCGGGCCUAGCCCUGCCUGAAUUCACUAAAAGACAAAAAAAAUUAAUUUUUUAAUAUUAUUUUCUUGUUAUUUUCUCCCUAUUUUGCUAUCAUUUUACUAUUAUUUUGCUACUAUUUUGUUGUUAUUAUUUGGAUAUUAUAUAAAACUUAUUUUAUUGUUAAUUUUGUUAUUAUUUUAGAGACAUUUACUUGUUAAGUUGCAUCUAUCUUAGUGUUAUUUAAGUAUACAUAUUUUUUAAAAUUUAUUUUCAAUUUGUUGAGAAAUAUUUAUUUUGAUAUUUUGAGUAUUUUGGAUGUAUUAUAUAUAUUUUAAAAUUAUAUAAAAAUUAAUAUGGGCAGGCUGGGUCGAGUCCGAGUUUUAGCAUCUUUAUUUGGGUUGGGUUUGGACAAAAUUUUAAGCCCAUUUUUCAGGCUGAGCCUAACAAAUGAUUCUAAAUUUUUAGUUGAGCUCUCAGCCCGGCCUAUGCUCAUAUCUAGUUCAGAGCUGCCCUCACUUUGUAUUUCUUUGAAAUUCAGUCUUAUCUACUGUUGAUUGCCUACUCAAUUGAGGGUUGAGUAGAAAAAUUUGGCGAAGCAAGCAAAGCUAUCAAUCAAGGUUGGAGAAAGCUUAGGAGGUCACAAUGCAUAAUUAUUUAAAUGUAAUUCUAAUAUUUAAAUCAAAUUUAUUAAUAUAGUAUUAACAAGCCUUAAAUGUAAUGAUCAUAUACUAUUACAUUUUCAGGAAGAGAAAAUAUGUUUAAACUUUAAAAAUAACGUAAUUAAAAAUGAUAAUCAUAAAUCUUAAAACAUAAAAAAUAUAAUUAAAAAUUAAUUUUAAACCCUGGAUAAAAUUCUAGUUUUAGAUAAUGAUACUAAUAACAAAUCAAUAUUUAAAUUAAAAUUAAUAUUAAUUUAAUAUAAUUUUUGAGUCUUCAGCAAAGGCACUCAAUGAAUGCUUGGAAAGAAAUAAUGCAACUUGGUGAUAACUUUGUUGGAGUUAUAUGGUCUUAUUAUAGUUUUAUGUUUUUAUGUUGCAGAAAAAACAUAUUGGAAUUUUUCGUGGACUUUCAAGUUUCAUGAUCUUUUCUUAAUACUUUAUGUGAAAAAAAAUAAUGGGAUUUAAAAAUCUAUCAAAAAGCUUCUGUUGUAGGCCAAUUUUGGCUCAAAUACAACCCAAUUAUUCAAACCCCUUAAAACCCAAUACAAAAUAGCCCAACUACUAACCCUAGCCCAGACCAAUAAUAAAAAAUAGCAAAGAAAAAAAGAACCCUGGCCACCCCGUGAUGUUUGCCACCCCACGCCUCUGCAGCACCAUUCCCAGGCAUCACACACUCUCACCAACUCCUCCAUACCCUGCAAAAUGAGACAAACACCAAGACAGAAGCUGACAACACAAGAGCAGUAGCAAGAGGCUUAAAAUAUCGUUUUGAAAUGGCUAUAAGAGGGAGAUCCGAUUGUAAAAAUUGGGGGGGAUUCAAUAUGCAAAAAUUGUAUCACGAAUUUUGGCAAAUCAAAAGCAAAAAAAAAGCACAUAAAAAAGGUUGAAUUUUAUUUCCUUUUUUUGUUUCUUUAUUUUUUAUUUUCCUUUUUUUCUUCAAAAAAUCAGUUUUAAAACAAAAAAAAUAAAAAAAAGAAGAAAGGGGAUUUACCUGAACUUCGGAGCCGCGACAUCGGAGCCCUACUCCGUCGUUGAAAUCGGCUCUCAAAAAGGAAAAUGGGGGUCUCUCCCUUCAGAUUUUCGGGCUAAGAAAAUAGGGCCUUCAGGCGCCCCCAAAAUCGGGGUCAAAAGCCCCCAUUCAAGCAACCCCGACCACCACUUACGGUGGCUCCAUGGCGGCGGCAAUGAUGGGUAUAAACCCUAGCAAAAGGGGAAAUGAGGGAGAGAGAGCCAAGAAACUCUCUGUUUUUUUUGCUUUUCAAAAUGGGGGCUGGAAACACAAAAUAAAAAAAAGGGUUUUAAGUUAUUUGAAAAAAAAGGGCUGCACUUUAACUCGUUUAACAGGCCUAAUAUGUGCCUUUUAAUUGAAAGUGAGGGAAUUAUACAUUAGGUCCUUCUCAUUUGCGCAAACAUUCAAUCAUGCCACAUUUAUUUCACUUCCUUUUUAAUUUGGCUUUAAAACUUACGCAUAUUAGCAAUUCGGUCCCAUUUCUUUUUAUUUUAUUAUUUUCACCCCGAAUUUCUGUCUAGAGUUCAAAUUAGCCCCUUUUCGUCCUUUUCUUUUCUUUUAUAUUUUAUUUUAUUAUUUGAUAUUAUGGUAUUAUAAUUGUAUUUUAUUUUCUUGCAUAUUAUUUGCUAUUAUUAUUAUCACCUUCAUUCCAUUAUUAUUAUUGCUAUUGCUAAGUUUUUUGUUGUUUAUAUUUUUAUUUAUAUUAUUAGUAUAUUGUUAUUCCUUAGUUUAUUAUUAUUAUAUCAUUUUUUAUGUAUUUAUCUACAUUAUUAUUAUUAUUAUUAUUUUUGAACACAUCAUGCAUUUUAAAUUAUUACCAAUUUUAAAUAUUUUAUAUAUAUCAUUAUGUAGUAUUUAUUUUUAGAUUCUUAUACGUAUCUUGGUAUUUUAGAUUAUUACAUGUAUACCUAUAUAUAUAUAUCUUUUAUUUUAAACAUUUUUCUAUGCAUUAUCUUACAUCAAAUUUCUUUUUUUUCACGUUAUUCUUUCUAAAUAUUUUAUAUGUCAUUUGAACUAAAUUCUAUUUUUAAAAUUUUUAUAUAUUACUUAGUUACAUUAUUUUAUAUGAAAAUUAUUUUGAACUCUUUUAUUAUUUAUUGUAAACCUUUAUUAUUGUUAAUUUUAAGACUAUAUAGGUAUUUAUUAAAAAAAAUUCAUAAAUAUUAUUUUGGAUUUAUAUAUAUUUUUAUUUUUGAACAAUAUUUAUUUUAAAAUUUUCUUUUACACAUUUUAAGCUCUUUGGUAAAUUAUUUUAAAGUGUUCUUGUUAUUUUUUUUUGUAUUAUUCAUCUUAUUUCAUUUAACAUAUUGUUUAUUUGAAGUUUGCUUUAUAUAGGUUACUUUAUUUUAUGCCCAAAAUAUUAUAUAUAUUAAUUAUUAUAAAUUGUUUUAUAUUCUUUACUUUAAAUUGCCUUUUCAUUUUAAAAUUGUUUUAUGUAUUAUUUAUUUAAAACUGUCUUAUUAUUUUGAAUUGUUUUAUGCCCCAUUUUUUAGAGCUCAAUUUAUUUAUUUUUAUUUAUCACCCAUUAUACGUUAUUUCCUUAUACUAUUACAUAUUUUAUACUUAUAUAUACAUAUAUAUGUGUAUGCAUCAUUUGAUCUAAAAUUUUUGUAAAUAAAUGUAUCAUCUUUCCUUAAAUCAUUUUAUAUAUUUUAAAUAUCCAUUUUUCACUUUAUUUACUUUUAAAACUUAGUUAUGAUCAUGUUAAAUAGUUUUUAUAUCUUAUUCGUUUUAAUUGGCUUUAUACUAUAUAUUUUUAUAUUAUCACAUAUGUUAUUUCAUUUAUUUGUUUAUUUAUUUUUUUUCUCCUUGAUUACUAAUAUUAACAUUUAAAUAAUGCAUGUUGAGUGAUUAUUGUUAUUGCGUGUACCUUAAUUCAUUCACUUGCGUAUUUAUAUUUGUCGUACAUUUGUGAUGUUAUUCUUGUAUUAUUAUUUCAUGGUCUAUACUCCCUUUCAUUUUGUUUCGUUUAAAUCAUAUCGUGCAUCUACCUCAAAUGUAUUUGUCCAAACAUGGACCGUUUUAAUCCAAACAAAUGAUACACGUCGCUUAAGUAUCACACUUGCUAUGGUUUUUAAAAACAAAAAUUUCAAAAUGAGGCAAUGUUUCGCGUUUUAGAACAUCGAGAAAUUGUGCCCUAACUUAUGGGGUUUCGGUUUUCUCGUUGGUUCUAAAUGUCAAAGUAUCCUUUUGAGUUUUAAAAUACACGAAAUUUUAAUUAAAAUUAAAGAUACACCUAUGCUCGAGAAUUCAUGGUAUGGUGUCCUAACUUACGGGAUGUGAUGCUCCGAUAUCUUGAGAUAAGGAAAUCUUUAAACAAAUUGUUUUGAGCUAAUUCAAAAAUUUUAAAAUUGAUAUUGAUAGAAAAGAUCAUAUUUCAAAUUCAUUCCCGAUUUUUGAUUUUCGACAUUAAGACACUAACUAAUCAAUUCGGUACUAAUUUUUGGGCGUGUCGGGGGCGCUAAUCCUUCCUCGCACAUAACCGACUCCCAAAUUUGUUCUCUUGGAAUUCGUAGACCAAAAUGCCGUUUUACUAAACUAAAAUUGUUAAAACAAAGGUGAUCCGAUCACACCAAAUAAAGAUCGGUGGCGACUUUCGUUUUAAUUUUUGUUUCCAAACAAAGUCGACCCCAUCCUUCAAAAAUCGGUUUCGACAGCUUCACUAUAAUAAUAAUAAUAAUAAUAAAUUGUUACAAUAUUACAACACAAAGUUACAAUAAGAGUUUAUAACUCAACAAAGGCUAUUAAUAAAUAAUCUCACACAAGCUAAAGAAAAAUGUUGAGAAUACCACUCAAAUAGUGACUGACUUUAAAAGUUGAAAACCCGAAGCUAUAGUAUCUCAAACGAAAUCAAACCAUAAACAUUAAAAUUUUUCGAGUCUACCAGCUACUGUAAAAAAUUCAGCUCCAACAGACACCAAAUGAGCCUUUGAUCGAAGAAAAUAUGAAAAUUAGUUUGGGUAUACCAAGCUGCCAAACUUACUUAUCUUAUCUUUAAUUUACAGUGAAAUUCAAAACUAAAGUUUUUGUUUAUUUCACUUAAAAUAACUUUCAAAAAAUUAUUUUUGAAAAAUGGAUUGGUUUUUCGAAAUAGAUGAUAUUUUAUUGUGUUAGAAUAUUAUUCGUUGUUUGAAAACUUUUUUUAAAUCAUUUUCUUAGAGUUAUUUUUAGUGAAACAAACAUAACAUAAAUAUAUUUGUUACAAAAAAUUAUAUUAGUAUUUUCUUUUGACAAUUAAAAUUUAUUUUAUGAUAAGACAAUAUUUUAUAAUAGUUAAUAUCAUAUAUAUAUACACGUAAUAAUAAAUUAUGUUUAAUUAAAAAUUAAUUUAAAUUAAAUAUAUUAAUAAAGCUACAUAUAAUCAUAUUUUAUAUAAUUAAAAUAUUAAUAUAAAUAUUUUUUAAUAAUAUAUUAAAAAUAUUAAAAAUUUAAAAUUAUUAUUACUAAAAUUAAUUAUUAAAAUAAAAAAUGUAAUAUUAAAUAAUUUAUUCAAUGAUAAGUACUUAUAUUAAUAAUUUAUCGUAUUAUUAAAUAUAAAUAAUUAAAUAUGUAUGUUUAAUCAUAUUACGUUAUAAUAUUUUAAUAUUCUUAAAACAGUUUUAAAGAUGCUGGUGAUGGUGAUGCUGCAGGCCCUUCUUGUUAAUUUUUAGUGCAAUAAUUGAAGUUGUAGGGUGUGGUCAAGCAAACCUCUUUUGACUGAAAUGCAUGUGAUAUACCGGUAAGUGGCGUAUCUAGAGGGGGACUGGCGUUGCCCUCGCCCCCUCCUCCCCACCCCCCCCCCCCCCCCAAAAAAAAUUGAAAUUGUUAUUUAAAUUUUUUCAAAAAUUUUAAAUUAAUAAAAGUAACAUUAUACUUUAUCCUCUAAAAUUAUAAAAAUUCUAUUUAAUCCUUUAAAAAUUAUAAAUAUAUAGACUAUAAAAAAUUAAAAUUUCAUUCGACCCCCCUAAAAUAUUGUUCUGGCUUCGCCCUUGAUACCGAUGUUGAAUAUUUUAGAGUAUAUGUCUUCUUUAACAAGGUUAAAUUAUAUAUUUGUAUAAUAUAGUUAUUGUUCAUGGACGUGACAUCGUAACUAGGUUCUUAUGCAUGUUAACAUAUAUCCUAUUUUAGGGUUAACAUGUAUUUUUUAAAUGUGAAUUCAUCUGUAUAAUGAUAUGAACCCAUCACGCGAUCUCAUAAAAUAUGCGAAUAUAUGUCAUGCGAACACAAAAUACAAACCACACACAAUACAUAUCAAGACCCAAUUGUGUAAUUGGAUACGGAUCAGUAAUAAUGAAUUUUCAUAACAGCCACCAUCCCCUCUUUUUUUUCUAAUUUAUUUUAUUUCCAGUGAGUUAUUAUUUAUGAUAAUUCACAACAAAUGUUUUUGUCAUUAUUUUGUUGGUAAAUAAUAAUAAGAUUAAACUUUACUUUCUUAAGCUCCUUCAAUUCUUUGGACGUUGGUGGUUUUUAUUCUAAUCUUAUUUUCUUAUUAAUUUCUUUUUUAUACAUGUAUGGUAUUAACAUUAUAUCAAUUAAAAUUUAUUCGACUGAAAAUAUAAAUUUAAAAUUGUACUUCAAUUUAUCUUAAUUUAUAAAUGAUGAAUUUAAAUUUAUUUUUUUCCUCUCAUUAUAUUUUUCCGGAUAAUAUUUGGCCCUAGAACAAAAACUAAAACAAUAAAACAAAUAUAUAUGUUUUCCAAAAAUUAAAUUGUCAACUUUAAAAAUAUAUAUUUUUAGCUAUUUAUCAUCAUAGAGAAAAAAAAAAAAAAGGUCACCUAGCCUCAUGCUUCAACACCUCAACCUAGAUUCUCAUCACCUGUAUUUAUCAUUGAUUCAGAUUUUUAUUUUUACUAUAUUCAAGAACUACCUAUAACUAUAUCUUCAAACUUCCUCUGGUUAAGUUCAUUCAUAGAUAGGUGAGUAAACUUGAGCUUCAGCUUCAACAAACACCAUAGUUUGAAGACACAAUUCUCUCAUACUAAAAAUAUGGAAGUUUACCAUGUAAUUAGAGAUUUGGUCUCAUUGCUUGUUGUUGGGUUAUUAAUGAUAUGGGGAUGGAGAGCUUUAAACUGGGUAUGGUUGGCCCCAAAGAGGCUCGAACGGUGCUUGAGACAACAGGGUUUUGCAGGGAAUCCUUACAGGUUCCUUUCUGGUGACAUAAAAGAGCUCUCAACUAUGAGCAGACAAACAAGAGCCAAACCUAUGCCUCUUAGUGAUGAUAUUGGGCCUUAUGUUGCUCCUUUUCUUCAUCAAACUGUCAACCAGUAUGGUAUGUUUUUUAUUAUUUAAUCUUCAAUUUAUGAUAAUUCUUUGUUAUUUAUGUAUGGAAUUUAUUGGGAGGAAAUGCAGGAAAGAAUUCAUUUACGUGGAUUGGUCCAAGACAAAGGGUGAACAUUA